CCAGCCAUCCAGCAAGUGAUGAUCAUGGCCUGUGCGAGGACAAGAACAAUGUCUCAGCAAGUGAUGAUCGCCUUACUACUUGUGCUCAUCUCAUGCCCAAAUGGCUCAGCUGAGGCUCGCACAUCAUCAGGCGACCUCGACGGCGUGCUGCACCACGGUGCGCGGAAGCUUCUGGGCCGCCCCGCGCCUCCGCCGCCGGCGCCGGCGUCACGCCCUCCGUACAGCGCCUCUGUCGUCUUGCCCCCGCCGCCUCCAGCGAUAUGAUGCGACAAGCACGCCGUCCUUCUCUGUACUAUAUAUGCGCUGCAUAUGGCUAGCUGCACAUAGAAUUACUUCAGAGUUGUGUAGGGCUAGUAUGAAUCAAUACUUCAGAGUUCAGACAGGCUCACUGUAUCAGAGAUGCUGAUCAACUGAUGACCAUGCAUAGAUGCUGUCGUCGUCAACUGUUUAAGAAUUCAGACAAUCUGGCGGUUUUCGCUAGAAUAUACUGUCGGUA
Molecule: long non-coding RNA, 496 nt
Organism: Setaria italica (foxtail millet)
Lineage: Eukaryota; Viridiplantae; Streptophyta; Magnoliopsida; Poales; Poaceae
Exons: 2
Source: RefSeq, a predicted model, not a curated record